Molecule: long non-coding RNA, 762 nt
Filed under: Olea europaea subsp. europaea
Lineage: Eukaryota; Viridiplantae; Streptophyta; Magnoliopsida; Lamiales; Oleaceae
Source: RNAcentral
UUACUUCAUUGCUUUUAAAUGCAAUUUUAGUUGUUUGGAAUGUUAUAUAUUAUAAUAAAAGCAAAGAUAAAUGGACACUAGUAAAAUGCCUUGGAAUAUUCUUAUAUAUUAGAAUAGUGUAAUAUUUCUCUUAUUUGUUUACCAACGUAAACCAAUAACGUCGAUCAUUACAGCUGUUAUCUACUUCUUUUUGUAUUUGACGUAUACGAUAUUGGUCGAGCAUAUGAGUAAGAGAUAAUUCUCUGACUUUUUUAUGAAUGUGACCUAACAUUAUCGUUCGUUACAGCUGUUAUCAUUAAUUUUUUGUAUUUGACGAGAGAUAAUGUAGUUUGAGUGUAUUAUAAAACAUAAUGCCCUCUCCUUUUGUCAAUGUGACCCAACAAUAUCCUUCAUUACAGAUGUUAUCAUUAAUUUUCUAUGUGUAAUUAACGCGAAUAAUGUCGUUUGAACAUAAAAUAAAGCAUAUACGGAUCUUAUACUUGUAAAGUUGAAUAUAUCAAGACAUUGUUUAUGAUACAAGUUGAAAGGUCAACAUUGUACAAUGUUAUUAAGCCUCGUUUGACGGUCAUUAUUGAGGAAAAAAUUGAUGUUUUUCAUGACUAUUUUUUAUGAGAAUGUGUGGUUACAAGUAGGAAUAUAUUUUGAAUUUACGUGUAAUACAUUUUUAUUAUGUAAAUGUGUCAUUGAAAAAGAGUAUGAUAAUUAAAGAGUUUUGUAGUUUUAUUUUAAAUGGAGACAAACAGAGACUUAAUUUCUCGAUUG